CUGGGAUUGCCUGGCUCACUGUCCGCUGCGUUCCUGAAAUACUCCAGCCUGAUUUAUUUUUCCAGCUGCCAUAAAAAGGAAUGUGUGGCCAGUGAGGUUGGUGAGGGAACUCCAGUCUGCACUGGAAGAGAGGUCUCCACUGGAAUGCCACCAGGCUGCGUCCUCGAGGCAGACCUGAUACCAAGCUGGAGUGGGCCCCGCUGGGAGCAGCAGAGUGACCCAACGGCCCUCUACAUGGCUGAAUUCAAGUCCCACGUGUGGGCUGGAAAGCGCACUGCGCACAUGUAGGAGCUGCCUUCGCUAGGCAGCACCCAUGAAAAGCUCUGAGGCUCUCGGUGGCCCCCACAAGCACCACCGGCCUUGAGUCUCCAGGCCCAGGUUAAGACACUAAGAAGGUCCUCCUGCCGGUGGAGUCCAGUUUGAACAGACCAGAUGACCCCUGGAAGAGGGGAGCUGCUCGGCACAACAGGAGGUGGGGCUGCAGCAGAGGCGUCCUCCUGCCAGGAUUCCCAGCUCUGCAGGAGACAGGCUGGCACCCACCACCGGGAUUGCCAGGCACAGGGCACACUGAUGCCAAGCAGAUGGGCGAGCCUGCUGUCCUCCUGGCCAGGGCAGCCCCCCAGGCCAGCCCUGGCCCCACCUGAGCCCAGAAACCCAGCCACACGGGCUUGCAUCCGCGUCCCCCGCCUCCUCACCAGCACUGGGUGUGGCUGCAUUUCCCGCCCCGGCUCCCGGGGUCGCCCCCUCCUCCGCGGUGUGCGUGUCCUCUCCGUGUGUGCUCGCCGCUGAGCUUCAUCGUCCCGGUGCAGGCCCCGAGGGGGACAUUGUCCCCUCCACCUCGUCUCGGGUCCUUCUCAGGGCAGUGCUCUCAACUGUCAGGACUUCCAGCUGGUUCAGCUCUCCUUUCAGGGCUUGUGCGGGACAGGCUGUCUGGCCCACGAGCCCCAGGAUGUCUUCUUCUUUCUCCUGCAAGUUUUAUGGUUUUAUGUUUGUGUGUGAAUCGGUGAGCCAUUCUGAGUUCAUUUUUGUAGAAAAUAUGAUACUUCGAACAAAGGUUCCGAUUUUUUGGCCUGUAGAAGCCAGAGCCUGAAUUUCCCCAACCUCCCCUCCAAUGAUACAUACUUUAUCCACUUCUAUUCAUUAUUCAAAUAUUUGCUGCUGCCCACUGGGUGCCCAGUGCCAUGGGGUCCUGGGGCCCACAGGUGAGUGUGUGAGACCCCAGCUGCCCUCCAGAGCCCACUGUCGGGCCUCAACUGGCCACAGCCUGACCCUCCCAGAUGUGGCCUCGGGACAGAGUGGGGUAUCCACGUCAGGCCCCAGAGCGGCCAAGGGGAGCGAGCCACCCGGGGGCUGUCCCUCUGGACCUCAUCCUGCUGGCCCCUUCUGCCCCGCGCCCCUGGCACCACCCUGGGGAACGCGACGGGGCAGGAACAAUCGCC
Long non-coding RNA from Bos taurus (domestic cattle), 1439 nucleotides. Lineage: Eukaryota; Metazoa; Chordata; Mammalia; Artiodactyla; Bovidae. The record is from Ensembl.